RNAcentral lists this long non-coding RNA (886 nucleotides) under Hordeum vulgare. Its description in RNAcentral is "long non-coding RNA (HVUL_LNC011640)". The record is from RNAcentral. Lineage: Eukaryota; Viridiplantae; Streptophyta; Magnoliopsida; Poales; Poaceae.
AUCGCCGGGGAUUUGAUCCCUGGAUCUCCUGAUUCCAGGUCUACACGCUGUCCAGUUGGGCUACAAUGCAACUUUAGACAAAACAUGGGAUUUGCGCUAGAUGUAUCAUACCAUGCUGCUGACUGAACCAGGUGCAGAACAGAUGUUCCUUUCUCUGUUGUCGGUGCUGGAGUUACAGGCUGCAGGUUCGGCGGCACGGCUUCAGGUCAGGCCUUGCCUGAUGGUGGAGCUCCGUCCAUGGGGACACGGCGACGCACCAGGUCAAGGCAAGGGCCUCUAGAUCCGGUCGGGGUUGCGGCCUUGCGACGGCUUGGACAAGCAAGCUCCAUGGGGCGGCGACCAUGGCAGGAUCCGGCGGGUUCUGCACGGGGACGGCGAGGGUGACAGGGUCCUGGCCGAAGGCGACGGGGACGAACCAGAUCGGGCCUGAUCCGGGGGCGUCCAUCCUGUUCCCAAAGGCGUCGAGGUCCAGGCUUGACGUCCAUGGCGGCGAUUUAGGACCUCCUCUGCUGUUCCUGCGGGUCAGAGAAGAGGGAGAGAUAGAACGUGAGGGAGAGAGGAAGGUAGGCAGAGAGAUGGAGAGGCGGAGGAAGGGCGGCUCGAGGGGACCAGCGUGGUCGGCCUGCUGGUGGAGCUCCGAGCAGGCCGGUCGGCAAGGUGAAGUUGGGGCUCCGGCCAGCACGGCGGGAGCUGCUACUCCUUCUUGUUGCCAGGCUACUGGUACGCGGACACGUCCACGGGGAGAGGAGCCGCGGGAUGGAUUUGGCUGCAGUUUUGCUUGGCGGAGAAAACGAGGUGGGCGGCGGCGGCUGCGGGACAAGACGCCUAGGAGUUAGGGUUUGUUCCUAAUUAGGUAGGGAUGGCCUAUAAAUAUAGAGGGGAAUUU